AGCAUAAACAUCCACUGCCUCUAGCUGUGCUCUGCAUAAACAGUCUGGAGAACCUCAUUAAUACAGGACAUCUCAUGGUCUGAGUCUUUUUGUGUGUAUGCUUCAUCUUCCUGGCUAUGGGAUUCUGGAGGUCACUUUGACAGCACCAAUGUUCUUGGAAAGGAAAUGGAACCUUUUGGGAUCUUGCCGCACAACUAUCCAGUAAGCGCACCUGAUUUAUAAGCUUUUCAUAAAGAUGGGAAGGUUGACAUAACCUCCAGAGGGAACACCAUUCCAGAAAGGGGAAGCCAUCACAGAAGAAUCCCACUUCCAAAUCCAAAUUUCCUGAAGAGCUAUCAAUCUUCUGCGAUGGAAUGGGAAUACUGAAUGAGUUAUUCUGACUGGAGAAAGCAUGCCCGCAAGUUCCCUGGGAUUAAGUUACUUUAAAGAUAGACAGAAAACUUCGAAUGACAUCCAGAAAUCGAAGGGAAUCCAAUGCUUUAGGUGUCACAUAGCUGUAAUGGCUAUUACCUAACAAUAAGAGU
This is a long non-coding RNA of Thamnophis sirtalis, 524 nucleotides long. RefSeq lists it as uncharacterized. Lineage: Eukaryota; Metazoa; Chordata; Lepidosauria; Squamata; Natricidae. The record is from RefSeq and is a predicted model, not a curated record.